Molecule: ribosomal RNA, 585 nt
Filed under: Ischiodon scutellaris
Lineage: Eukaryota; Metazoa; Arthropoda; Insecta; Diptera; Syrphidae
Description: eukaryotic LSU rRNA
Source: RNAcentral
AGUACGUGAAACUGCUUAGAGGUUAAACCCGAUGAACCUGAAUAUCCAUUAUGGAAAAUUCAUCACUAAUGAUAUAAUAUGUAAGAAAUAUUUUAGAAAUAGUGUGCAAUUUUUCCAUAUAAGGACAUUGUAAUCUGUUAAUGUAGUAAAUAUUUAUCAUAAGGUCCAUUACACUAAGUUUAUUCAAAUUGGUUAUUUUCGGAUAAUUAACAUAGAAUAAAUGUUUUGGAUUUGAUAAAUCAUUGACAGAUAUAAUUAUGUAAUGUGCUUAAAUUUUUCGGAAUUUUAUCAAUGGUAGUAAAUAUUUUAUUUUCUAUUUAAUUGAUAUGCACUAUUAUGAUUAACAAUGCGAGAGAUUCAGGAUACCUUCGGGACCCGUCUUGAAACACGGACCAAGGAGUCUAACAUAUGUGCAAGUCAUUGGGUAUUUUUAAUAAAACCCAAUGGCGUAAUUAACUUAACUGCUAAUUAAUGGGAUUAGUUUAUAUUUUGUUAUGAAUUAUUAAUUCAAUCCCGGGGCGUUCUAUAUAGUUAUGUAUAAUAAUAUUUAUAUUAUUUAUGCCUCUAACUUGAGCGUCCUUGAGC